CAGCACCUCAAGUGGUCAGGAUGAUUAUUGGGCCUAAAGCAUCCGUAGCCGGCGCUGUAAGUUUUCGGUUAAAUCUGUACGCUCAACGUACAGGCUGCCGGGAAUACUGCAGCGCUAGGGAGUGGGAGAGGUAGACGGUACUCGGUAGGAAGGGGUAAAAUCCUAUGAUCUAUUGAUGACCACCUGUGGCGAAGGCGGUCUACCAGAACACGUCCGACGGUGAGGGAUGAAAGCUGGGGGAGCAAACCGGAUUAGAUACCCGCGUAGUCC
RNAcentral lists this ribosomal RNA (270 nucleotides) under uncultured archaeon. Its description in RNAcentral is "partial 16S ribosomal RNA". It matches the Rfam family "Archaeal small subunit ribosomal RNA", at positions 477 to 747 of the family's 1478-position model. The record is from RNAcentral.